Molecule: ribosomal RNA, 506 nt
Filed under: uncultured bacterium
Lineage: Bacteria
Description: partial 16S ribosomal RNA
Rfam family: Bacterial small subunit ribosomal RNA
Source: RNAcentral
AGUGAACGCUGGCGGUAGGCCUAACACAUGCAAGUCGAACGGCAGCACAGAGGAGCUUGCUCCUUGGGUGGCGAGUGGCGGACGGGUGAGGAAUACAUCGGAAUCUACUCUGUCGUGGGGGAUAACGUAGGGAAACUUACGCUAAUACCGCAUACGACCUACGGGUGAAAGCAGGGGACCUUCGGGCCUUGCGCGAUUGAAUGAGCCGAUGUCGGAUUAGCUCGUUGGCGGGGUAAAGGCCCACCAAGGCGACGAUCCGUAGCUGGUCUGAGAGGAUGAUCAGCCACACUGGAACUGAGACACGGGCCAGACUCCUACGGGAGGCAGCAGUGGGGAAUAUUGGACAAUGGGCGCAAGCCUGAUCCAGCCAUACCGCGUGGGUGAAGAAGGCCUUCGGGUUGUAAAGCCCUUUUGAUGGGAAAGAAAUCCAGCUGGCUAAUACCCGGUUGGGAUGACGGUACCCAAAGAAUAAGCACCGGCUAACUUCGUGCCAGCCGCCGCCGUAA